Molecule: ribosomal RNA, 714 nt
Filed under: uncultured bacterium
Lineage: Bacteria
Description: bacterial SSU rRNA
Rfam family: Bacterial small subunit ribosomal RNA
Source: RNAcentral
AUUAGAGUUUGAUCCUGGCUCAGGACGAACGCUGGCGGCGUGCCUAACACAUGCAAGUCGAGCGAUGAAAUCCCUUCGGGGAUGGAUUAGCGGCGGACGGGUGAGUAACACGUGGGUAACCUGCCUCAAAGAGGGGGAUAGCCUCCCGAAAGGGAGAUUAAUACCGCAUAACAUUAGUUUUUCGCAUGAAGAACUAAUUAAAGGAGCAAUCCGCUUUGAGAUGGACCCGCGGCGCAUUAGCUAGUUGGUGAGGUAACGGCUCACCAAGGCGACGAUGCGUAGCCGACCUGAGAGGGUGAUCGGCCACAUUGGAACUGAGACACGGUCCAGACUCCUACGGGAGGCAGCAGUGGGGAAUAUUGCACAAUGGGCGAAAGCCUGAUGCAGCAACGCCGCGUGAGUGAUGAAGGCCUUCGGGUUGUAAAGCUCUGUCUUUGGGGACGAUAAUGACGGUACCCAAGGAGGAAGCCACGGCUAACUACGUGCCAGCAGCCGCGGUAAUACGUAGGUGGCGAGCGUUGUCCGGAUUUACUGGGCGUAAAGGAUGCGUAGGCGGAUAUUUAAGUGAGAUGUGAAAUACCCGGGCUUAACUUGGGUGCUGCAUUUCAAACUGGAUAUCUAGAGUGCGGGAGAGGAGAAUGGAAUUCCUAGUGUAGCGGUGAAAUGCGUAGAGAUUAGGAAGAACACCAGUGGCGAAGGCGAUUCUCUGGACCG